Molecule: long non-coding RNA, 565 nt
Filed under: Mytilus galloprovincialis (Mediterranean mussel)
Lineage: Eukaryota; Metazoa; Mollusca; Bivalvia; Mytilida; Mytilidae
Source: RNAcentral
CUCAGCUUCAUUGCUUUUCUGAUGCUAGUGAAAUUGGCUACGGAAUGGUAUUUUAUUUACGCCUUGUUGAUGAUGAAGGUAUGAUUCAUUGUUCUUUUGUACUCGGCAAGUCUCGAGUAGCACCAUUGAAAAAGGUAACUAUACCUAGGAUGGAACUUACAGCCGCAACACGAGCAGUAAAACUAAGUAAAGUAAUAUUAGAGGAGUUAAACUACAGCAUAGACAAAACAUUCUUUUGGACAGACAGUAUGUCAGUAUUACGCUAUAUCAGCAAUCAGAAUAUACGUUUCCACACUUUCGUUGCAAACCGCUUAGAAAUCAUUCAUGAAGCUACAAUUGUUGAUCAGUGGAAGUAUAUAAAUACAAAGCUUAAUCCCGCCGAUUAUGCAUCUAGGGGAAUGUCAGUUUCAAAGUUUGAAUCAAACCCAGACUGGUUCAAUGGACCAGAGUAUCUUUGGAAACCAGAAAUAGAAUGGCCAGAAGGGCGCAUAGACAAGACUAUUAUUGAUGAAGAUAAAGAAGUGAAACGAGUCGUUAACACUACAAUAUUGUCAAGCGAACAUCA